Molecule: transfer RNA, 77 nt
Filed under: Candidatus Zhuqueibacterota bacterium
Lineage: Bacteria; Pseudomonadati
Also listed under: 2 other names
Description: candidate division KSB1 bacterium tRNA-Arg
Rfam family: tRNA
About the family: Transfer RNA (tRNA) molecules are approximately 80 nucleotides in length. Their secondary structure includes four short double-helical elements and three loops (D, anti-codon, and T loops). Further hydrogen bonds mediate the characteristic L-shaped molecular structure. tRNAs have two regions of fundamental functional importance: the anti-codon, which is responsible for specific mRNA codon recognition, and the 3' end, to which the tRNAs corresponding amino acid is attached (by aminoacyl-tRNA synthetases). tRNAs cope with the degeneracy of the genetic code in two manners: having more than one tRNA (with a specific anti-codon) for a particular amino acid; and 'wobble' base-pairing, i.e. permitting non-standard base-pairing at the 3rd anti-codon position.
Source: RNAcentral
GUGCCCGUAGCUCAACUGGAUAGAGCGCUUGGCUACGGACCAAGAGGCUGAGGGUUCAAGUCCUUCCGGGCAUACAA